Molecule: ribosomal RNA, 497 nt
Filed under: uncultured bacterium
Lineage: Bacteria
Description: partial 16S ribosomal RNA
Rfam family: Bacterial small subunit ribosomal RNA
Source: RNAcentral
GAUGAACGCUGGCGGCGUGCCUAAUACAUGCAAGUCGAGCGAACAGACGAGGAGCUUGCUCCUCUGACGUUAGCGGCGGACGGGUGAGUAACACGCGGAUAACCUACCUAUAAGACUGGGAUAACUUCGGGAAACCGGAGCUAAUACCGGAUAACAUGUUGAACCGCAUGGUUCAACAGUGAAAGACGGUCUUGCUGUCACUUAUAGAUGGAUCCGCGCCGCAUUAGCUAGUUGGUAAGGUAACGGCUUACCAAGGCAACGAUGCGUAGCCGACCUGAGAGGGUGAUCGGCCACACUGGAACUGAGACACGGUCCAGACUCCUACGGGAGGCAGCAGUAGGGAAUCUUCCGCAAUGGGCGAAAGCCUGACGGAGCAACGCCGCGUGAGUGAAGAAGGUCUUCGGAUCGUAAAACUCUGUUACUAGGGAAGAACAAAUGUGUAAGUAACUAUGCACGUCUUGACGGUACCUAAUCAGAAAGCCACGGCUAACUACGUG